CCUACGGGCUGCACCAGUGGGGAAUAUUGCACAAUGGGCGCAAGCCUGAUGCAGCCAUGCCGCGUGUAUGAAGAUGGCCUUCGGGUUGUAAAGUACUUUCAGCGAGGAGGAAGGCGAUAAGGUUAAUAACCUUGUCGAUUGACGUUACUCGCAGAAGAAGCACCGGCUAACUCCGUGCCAGCAGCCGCGGUAAUACGGAGGGUGCAAGCGUUAAUCGGAAUUACUGGGCGUAAAACGCACGCAGGCGGUCUGUCAAGUCGGAUGUGAAAUCCCCGGGCUCAGCCUGGGAACUGCAUUCGAAACUGGCAGGCUAGAGUCUUGUAGAGGGGGGUAGAAUUCCAGGUGUAGCGGUGAAAUGCGUAGAGAUCUGGAGGAAUACCGGUGGCGAAGGCGGCCCCCUGGACAAAGACUGACGCUCAGGUGCGAAAGCGCGGGGAGCAAACAGGAUUAGAUACCCUCGUAGUC
RNAcentral lists this ribosomal RNA (465 nucleotides) under uncultured bacterium. Its description in RNAcentral is "bacterial SSU rRNA". It matches the Rfam family "Bacterial small subunit ribosomal RNA", at positions 338 to 795 of the family's 1533-position model. The record is from RNAcentral.